GGAGGUGCCAUAGCUUAGUAGUAAAGUAUUUGCUUUGCAUGCAGAAGGUCCCGGGUUCAAUCCUUGGCAUCUCCA
RNAcentral lists this transfer RNA (75 nucleotides) under Sphaerodactylus townsendi. RNAcentral describes it as "tRNA-Ala". It matches the Rfam family "tRNA". Rfam says of the family: Transfer RNA (tRNA) molecules are approximately 80 nucleotides in length. Lineage: Eukaryota; Metazoa; Chordata; Lepidosauria; Squamata; Sphaerodactylidae. The record is from RNAcentral.